CAGUCCUCUGCCUCGCUCAACCUCCUGCAAACCCCAUCAGAAAGUUUCGAGCUGGAUACACUUCUUCAUUCCCUUCCGGGAAAAGAGAAGCAAAGUAAUGGACAAGAACAAAACCCGAAGGUCUUUGAGUACGACUGCAUAUCGUCAUUCUCCAGGAUUGCUUCUUUGGUCGUAAUUUACCACUCGGGACAACC
This 194-nucleotide small nucleolar RNA is filed under the name Aureobasidium namibiae CBS 147.97. The record is from RNAcentral. Lineage: Eukaryota; Fungi; Ascomycota; Dothideomycetes; Dothideales; Saccotheciaceae.